RNAcentral lists this ribosomal RNA (243 nucleotides) under Triticum aestivum (bread wheat). RNAcentral describes it as "partial small subunit ribosomal RNA". Lineage: Eukaryota; Viridiplantae; Streptophyta; Magnoliopsida; Poales; Poaceae. The record is from RNAcentral.
AUGUGUGUGCCAAAACGACGGGGAGGUAUGGGUUUCAAAGACUUGGAAAGUUUUAAUUUGGCUAUGCUCUCAAAACAAUGUUGGAGAUUGCUCUCCGAGUCAAAUUUGUUGUGUGCCCAAGUGCUUCGCGUGAAGUAGUACACCCCGGGAUACUUACUAAACCGUGAACUGAAGAAGGGGAGUUCUUACACGUGGCAAAGCUUAUGGUCAUGCAUAAAACUUUUAAAAGAGCGCACAUUUUGA